Molecule: ribosomal RNA, 254 nt
Filed under: uncultured bacterium
Lineage: Bacteria
Description: partial 16S ribosomal RNA
Rfam family: Bacterial small subunit ribosomal RNA
Source: RNAcentral
UACGAAGGGGGCUAGCGUUGCUCGGAAUCACUGGGCGUAAAGGGUGCGUAGGCGGGUCUUUUAAGUCAGGGGUGAAAUCCUGGAGCUCAACUCCAGAACUGCCUUUGAUACUGAGGAUCUUGAGUUCGGGAGAGGUGAGUGGAACUGCGAGUGUAGAGGUGAAAUUCGUAGAUAUUCGCAAGAACACCAGUGGCGAAGGCGGCUCACUGGCCCGAUACUGACGCUGGGGCACGAAAGCGUGGGGAGCAAACAGG